UGGUCCAGUGGUAUAUGCACUGGUCUGCAAACUGCGAAGCGUGGGUUCCAACCCCACUAA
Molecule: transfer RNA, 60 nt
Filed under: Eutreptiella gymnastica
Lineage: Eukaryota; Euglenozoa; Euglenophyceae; Eutreptiales; Eutreptiaceae
Source: RNAcentral